CCUACGGGAGGCAGCAGUGAGGAAUAUUGGUCAAUGGCCGAGAGGCUGAACCAGCCAAGUCGCGUGAGGGAAGACGGCCCUCCGGGUUGUAAACCUCUUUUGUCGGGGAGCAAAGCGAGUCACGUGUGACUCAUUGAGAGUACCCGAAGAAAAAGCAUCGGCUAACUCCUUGCCAGCAGCCGCGGUAAUACGGAGGAUGCGAUCGUUAUCCGGUUUUAUUGGGUUUAAAGGGGGCGCAGGAGGGGGUGCAAGUCAGCGGUAAAAUUGCGGGGCUCAACCCCGUACUGCCGUUGAAACUGCAUCCCUUGAGUGCGCGAGAAGUAUGCGGAAUGCGUGGUGUAGCGGUGAAAUGCAUAGAUAUCACGCAGAACUCCGAUUGCGAAGGCAGCAGACCGGCGCGCAACUGACGCUCAUGCACGAAAGCGUGGGUAUCGAACAGGAUUAGAUACCCCAGUAGUC
Molecule: ribosomal RNA, 459 nt
Filed under: uncultured bacterium
Lineage: Bacteria
Description: partial 16S ribosomal RNA
Rfam family: Bacterial small subunit ribosomal RNA
Source: RNAcentral